RNAcentral lists this long non-coding RNA (1087 nucleotides) under Homo sapiens (human). RNAcentral describes it as "long intergenic non-protein coding RNA 1287". Lineage: Eukaryota; Metazoa; Chordata; Mammalia; Primates; Hominidae. The record is from RNAcentral.
GCGCGACUUCCCUGGCCCUCCCCCUGCGGACCAGUGAACCUCGCCCGAGGGCUCAAUAAAGAAGAUUUUUGCCCUCUUUUUCUCACCUCUCAGCCUUAUUGAUCCAUGGUGCCCUUCCAUUGCCUUUCAUUGGUGCCGAAACCCGGGAGGGGACACCUCCUAAGCCCCCCCAGAGGCUCAGGGGGACUCCCCUCCUGGUCGGAUCAGUCCUCUCCCUCAGUCAGGUCAGGCUUCUCCUCCACGGCCAUCUGUCCAUUUCGUCCGGUUACUUGCUGCCAGGUCGCAGUUGCUGCAGCUACUCCAGUCCAAUUCGGCCGACGCUAGAUUUCCUGAGGUGCUGUGAAUUUUACAGAUCAACUGAGAUGCAAAACCCAUGUUCACAUCAUGAGUGAGUCUUCUAACUCGGACAAUGCAAUCAACAAAUUCUAAGACCAAAUUCCGGUGGCACUGGCUCCAAAGCUCCUGAGUGUGGAAGGAGGUGAACAGGGAAAAGCAGAGAGGACAAAAGUCACAUCCCCUCCCCACAGACCCAUACUGGGGAAGGGUGGAAGAUUUAGCUGCGAGUCAAGUUCAGAAUUUUGAUUAACAUCUUGGCAUGCACAUUCGAAUUUCAGAAUCAAGACUGUUGGCCAUAAAAAAUGACUAUAGCCUUGUGUAUUACCUGAACUGAGCAGUAAAAAAAAAGUCAUGGUCCUUCUGGGGCUUUUAUUCUGAGACAGGAACCCUGAACAGGCAGGAGAAAGGGAAUGUUGACAGAGAAACAAAGACAGUUGGCGACACACGCUGACCGCCAUGCGGACGUCCAUCAAACCCAGCACUGGCCCUGGGUACGUGCGCCUUUGCUAUUACCCCAAUACAUUUUCUUCUGCAGAGCAAGCAACAGAACACAUGCAGACCUUAAUAAAUACCACUGGGUAAUGUGACAAUGGCCAAACUCUCCUCACGGGGGAGAGAGUGUCCCCCAGUUUUGCUCCCUUUUAAUUUCCAGGGUUCAUAAGUAGCUCUAAAGCUUUGCUCUACAAGGUUGAUACAUACGAUAUUAAUGUUUCCCCUAAGCAGUAUAACAUAAAUAUAUUUGCUAUCUUGA